UACGUAGGGGGCAAGCGUUGUCCGGAAUCAUUGGGCGUAAAGCGCGUGUAGGCGGCCUUGUAAGUCCGUUCUGAAAGCCCGGGGCUCAACCCCGGGAGGCGGAUGGAUACUGCAAGGCUCGAGUCCGGAAGAGGCGAGUGGAAUUCCCGGUGUAGCGGUGAAAUGCGCAGAUAUCGGGAGGAACACCAAUGGCGAAGGCAGCCCGCUGGGACGGUACUGACGCUGAGACGCGAAAGCGUGGGGAGCAAACAGG
Molecule: ribosomal RNA, 253 nt
Filed under: uncultured bacterium
Lineage: Bacteria
Description: partial 16S ribosomal RNA
Rfam family: Bacterial small subunit ribosomal RNA
Source: RNAcentral